This 717-nucleotide long non-coding RNA is filed under the name Vigna radiata. RNAcentral describes it as "long non-coding RNA (VRAD_LNC003499)". The record is from RNAcentral. Lineage: Eukaryota; Viridiplantae; Streptophyta; Magnoliopsida; Fabales; Fabaceae.
GGUUUGCUUGGUUGGUCAUUAACAAAAUUGCAUUGUUUCCUUGAGGUUUUUGGAUUGUAAUUGCGUUUCUACUACUCUGACUUAGCAUAAUGUUGAAUAUGUUUUGCGCUUGCAAUUAGGUAUAGCUUAGUUGCCUAAUUGGUGUUUAAUCUUCGCUUAGUUGAUGAAACUAUAUGGUGCAUAGUUGAUUGAAUGUGUAAAUUGCGUUUUCUUAAUUCACUUUUAUGAAAAUAUGGUUAGUCUUGGCUUAGUUGGCUAGCUUAUGUUGGAUUAGGGGUUAAAGUAGUGUUUAAUUCUUGACUAAUCUAUGAUUGGAAGUAUGUAAUUGAGCUAGUGACCAACCGUUUUUAAUUAGUGUUUGCAUUCGUGUUCAAUUAAGUUUAUUUCCAUUCACAAAAACCCUUCACAAACCCCCACCAAGUGUUUGAUCUAAUGACUGAACCAAUAUUUGGUCCUUGAGAGACGAUCUAGGAGUCAUUUCCUAGUCUAUACUUCACUUUUAUUGCAUAUUAAAUUUGAUUCGGUUACGGCCUCGAUCAAUUGCCGCUACAACUAAGAUCCAAUGCAACCAACUCGUUAGCCUCUUCAACAAAUCUCCACCACAGAUGCACAACCUUCAUAGCCACGUCCACGUACACCACACUUCCUCUUCCUAAAACCUACAACAUACAACAUAUAUUAGAAGAAGGUGUUGUCAUUAAAAGCUUUGUCUCCCCA